RNAcentral lists this ribosomal RNA (570 nucleotides) under [Candida] santamariae var. membranifaciens. Its description in RNAcentral is "eukaryotic LSU rRNA". It matches the Rfam family "Eukaryotic large subunit ribosomal RNA", at positions 62 to 648 of the family's 3401-position model. Lineage: Eukaryota; Fungi; Ascomycota; Pichiomycetes; Serinales; Debaryomycetaceae. The record is from RNAcentral.
NNNCCAACAGGGAUUGCCUUAGUAACGGCGAGUGAAGCGGCAAAAGCUCAAAUUUGAAAUCUAGCACUUUCAGUGUUCGAGUUGUAAUUUGAAGAAGGUAACUUUGGAGUUGGCUCUUGUCUAUGUUCCUUGGAACAGGACGUCACAGAGGGUGAGAAUCCCGUGCGAUGAGAUGUCCAACUCUAUGUAAAGUGCUUUCGAAGAGUCGAGUUGUUUGGGAAUGCAGCUCUAAGUGGGUGGUAAAUUCCAUCUAAAGCUAAAUAUUGGCGAGAGACCGAUAGCGAACAAGUACAGUGAUGGAAAGAUGAAAAGAACUUUGAAAAGAGAGUGAAAAAGUACGUGAAAUUGUUGAAAGGGAAGGGCUUGAGAUCAGACUUGGUAUUUUGCGUUCCCUUCCUUUUUGGUUGGGUUCCUCGCAGUUUACUGGGCCAGCAUCGGUUUGGAUGGUAGGAUAAUGACAUUGGAAUGUAGCUUUACUUCGGUGAAGUGUUAUAGACUUUGUUGAUACUGCCUAUCUAGACCGAGGACUGCGUCUUUGACUAGGAUGCUGGCGUAAUGAUCUUAAGCCGC